CCCUCCUACAACGUCCGCAGCCUGCGCCGCGCGGUGGCUCUGGACUAGGCCUUUUCCUCUGGGUUGUGGAUCCUCUUCUCUAUGACUCCGUCCGAUCCCUAGUCUUUCUUCCAAAACAUCAUGAAACCCCCCCUCCAGGAGCCUUUCAUGCUUCUCUGUGUCUCAGUUUCCUCUUCUAUAACGUGGACGUAACAUGUUAUUCCCUCCAUAGCAGUGCUCCAUAUGUUUAGUUAUGAUUGUUGCUAUUAUUAAUAUUAUUGCUCUAUUAAUCCUGCUUGGCAGGACCUCUAGAUGACUUAAACAUCUCUGGCUUCACUGAUGGGGACACACACCAGCUCAGAGAGGUCAAGGGACUUGGCUCAAGUUUUAAAAAAUGAGUCAGAGGCCCGCUGGAUUGUAUUUUUCAUUCAUUCAUUCAUUCAACAAAUACUGAGCACCUAGCUGGGAAUACAGUGGCCAACAAGAAGUCCCUGCUCUCCUGGAGCUGACUUUUCAGCUCUGAAACUCUGAGCUCCUCUCCACCGUUCCAGCACUGGACACCAGGCCUGUUACCCAGAAGGUGGGUGCUCAGUAAAUGCCCACUGGUUGGAAAGAGUGCAGACUUCACAUCCACCCAUCUUUGGCUCGUGGAGGGCUCAGUGAGCGUGUGAGAAAAUGAAGCAACUUGGCAGAAUGAACGUGCCUGUUAAUCUGCAACCCAGAGAAGAUGUAAAGUCCUCUUGGGGCCAUGUGCGGUGGCUCACGCCUGUAAUCCCAGCACUUUGGGAGGCUGAAGCUGGUGGACCACUUGAGGUCAGGAGUUUGAGACCAGCCUGGGUAACAUGGCAAAACCUUAUCCCUAAAAAUAUACAAAAAAAUGGCUGGGCGCGGUGGCUCACGCCUGUAAUCCCAGCACUUUGGGAGGCUGAGGCGGGCAAAUCACCCGAGGUCAGGAGUUCAAGACCAGCCUGGCCAACAUGGUGAACCCUGUCUCUACUAAAAAUACAAAAAUUAUCUGGCUGUGAUGGCAGGCGCCUGUAAUCCCAGCUACUCUGGAGGUUGAGGCAGAAGAAUCGCUUGAACCUGGGAGGUGGAGGUUGCAGUGAGCAGAAUCAUAUCACUGCACUCCAGCCUGGGUGACAGAGCUGAAUAAAUAAAAUUAUGUAUUCAGUGGAAGGCUGAUCAAGGACUCAAAAGAAUGCAAUCUUUUGUCUCCUAUCUACUUUUUUUUUUUUUGAGACAGAGUCUCACUCUGUCGCCCAGGCUGGAGUGCAGUGGCACAAUCUCGGCUCACUGCAACCUCUGCCUCUGAGGUUCAAGUGAUUCCCCUGCCUCAGCCUCCCAGGUAGCUGGGACUAUAGGCAUGCCCCACCAUGUCCGGCUAAUUUUUGUUGUUGUUGUAUUUUAGUAGAGACGGGGUUUCACCAUGUUGGCCAGGAUGGUCUGGAUCUCCUGACCUCAUGAUCCGCCCACCUCAGCCUUCCAAAGUGCUGGGAUUAUAGGCAUGAGCCACUGCACCUGGCCUUGUCUCUUAUGUAUUUCUAACCUGGAAGCCCCUGCUUCAAGCUGUCCUGUCUUACCAGACCAAACCAAUGUACAUCUUACACAUAUUGAUUGAGGUCUCAUGUCUCCCU
RNAcentral lists this long non-coding RNA (1613 nucleotides) under Homo sapiens (human). Its description in RNAcentral is "HSALNT0290447". The record is from RNAcentral. Lineage: Eukaryota; Metazoa; Chordata; Mammalia; Primates; Hominidae.